CGUAGGUGGCAAGCGUUGUCCGGAAUUAUUGGGCGUAAAGGGCGCGUAGGCGGUACCUUAAGUCAGAUGUGAAAACCCGAGGCUUAACUUCGGAGGUGCAUUUGAAACUGGGGAACUAGAGUGCAGGAGAGGUAAGUGGAAUUCCUAGUGUAGCGGUGAAAUGCGUAGAUAUUAGGAGGAACACCAGUGGCGAAGGCGACUUACUGGACUGUAACUGACGCUGAGGCGCGAAAGCGUGGGGAGCAAACAGGAUUAGAUACCCUGGUAGUCCACGCUGUAAACGAUGGAUACUAGGUGUGGGAGGUAUCGACCCCUUCCGUGUCCGCAGUAAACGCAAUAAGUAUCCCGCCUGGGGAGUACGGCCGCAAGGUUG
This 373-nucleotide ribosomal RNA is filed under the name uncultured organism. RNAcentral describes it as "bacterial SSU rRNA". It matches the Rfam family "Bacterial small subunit ribosomal RNA", at positions 526 to 896 of the family's 1533-position model. The record is from RNAcentral.